This is a long non-coding RNA of Dipodomys spectabilis (banner-tailed kangaroo rat), 364 nucleotides long. RefSeq lists it as uncharacterized. Lineage: Eukaryota; Metazoa; Chordata; Mammalia; Rodentia; Heteromyidae. The transcript has 3 exons. The record is from RefSeq and is a predicted model, not a curated record.
CUUUCAGAAGUUCCAAAGACCCCACACACCUGGGCUCCCCAAACAGCUGGCCAAGUCUGUAUCCAGCACAGGAAUGGAAAAAUCCCAACCCCACUGUUUGACAUCCACCUCAACCCAGUGCCCCGCCUUCAACCCUAGAGAUAUCCUACUGGUGAAAAAGCAGAACCAGAAAGAUCAAGAGAUUCACUCAAAUGGAAAAGUCACCUUUCAGGUUGAAAAGGAAGAAACACACCUGCAAAAUAAUCUUCUCACAGUUGAAAAACAACAUUUGUGAAAUAUCUAAUUGGCAUUUCACAUCACCAUACUCCUUCCAAAAAGAAUUCAGUAACACAUAUAGAAAGCUACUAAAAUUCUAUUCCCUUUA